This is a long non-coding RNA of Xenopus laevis (African clawed frog), 980 nucleotides long. RefSeq lists it as uncharacterized. The transcript is spliced from 3 exons. Lineage: Eukaryota; Metazoa; Chordata; Amphibia; Anura; Pipidae. The record is from RefSeq and is a predicted model, not a curated record.
CGCUGUGAAUCGUCUGUUCAAAAAAGACGAUCGUCUUGUCGCCGCGAUUUACUUUUUUAAAACGUUGGCGACAAAUCGUCCAGUGUGUCCCUACCCUUAAACUAAUUAUAAGUGUUUUUCAUAAAGCAAGUCUGGCGGGAUGUUAAACACUUGUUAAUUUAGUACCUAUGUAAGUAAAUCCUGCAAUGUCUGAAACUGAAUGUGCACAGCGCUGUGUAUGAUUAGUAAUACUAUAUAUAUGAACAGAAGAUAAAACUGGAACUCUUUUUCUUCACCCACCCUAUUAUUCUACUGACCUCCUUUACAUCUUCCAGCUCUACAAUAUCAUUGCCCGGAGUGCAUUCCUUAUUAAAGACAGGAGUCGACAAAGGAUUUGUUGAGAGAUACUAAUAGCACUGCAGCUAUAAUCCUAUUUAUGGAAGCCAAAACCUCACUUGGUUUUUUGCCGAUAAACCUGACACUAUGGGGGGUGUAAUUAAAGGCACAGCUUUGCCCAGAUUUAUCAAAAUGUGAGAUUUCAUCAAGGAGUUGUAAAAGGAAGCAUACACCCAUUCGAACAACUGAAGAAAAUAAAAUUUUGCAGCCACGAGAAGACCCAAAGAAACAGGAAGAUGGACCCCAGCCUAAAAACCAGUAAAGUGGGAGAUUCAAGGAUAAUGUAAACUGUGCUAUAUAGCCAUGGAACUGUACCAAGGUAUGGGAUCUGUUAUAUGAAAUGCUUGGAACUGGGGUUUAUUAAAAGCAAUCAUUAAAAAGACCUAACAGGAUGGUUAAAAAAAUAUAUGAAUUAUUUGCUAAGAAGGGACUCUGUGAAAGACGGCACUCUGGAUAACAGGUUUUUCGAAUAAGGGAUGCCAAGGUGAGUUAAAUAAGCAUUAUGGAUUAGCUGGAUGUUGUGUUUAGGGGAAGUACUGCCCUAUUAUUUUUUUAAAAAUAGAGAUUUUUAUAAUGGAAACAUUAAAGAGGUUGUUCAGCUUUCU